This is a long non-coding RNA of Panicum virgatum (switchgrass), 341 nucleotides long. RefSeq lists it as uncharacterized. The record is from RefSeq and is a predicted model, not a curated record. The transcript has 3 exons. NCBI's taxonomy places the organism in Eukaryota, Viridiplantae, Streptophyta, Magnoliopsida, Poales, Poaceae.
CAUUAUACAUUUUGUUUAGCCAAUAAGUUACUUAAAGACAAUAAAAAUCUGAGUUCAUUCUCCCUUCUGGAAUCCCUUGAGGAAAGGAUCGAUUUCCUGAGACUAACAUGGAAGUUGGAAACUGAUCCCAGUUCCUUAAAGGACUUGCCACCAGCUAGUGUGAGGAGAGGUACCUGAGCUCACUGAGCGCCUGCCUUCUGCCUACUUAUCUCUCAAAACUAAGGGAAAAGACCACCGGCCAGAAGAACAGGAUCACCAUCACCAACGACAAGGGCCCGCUAAGCAAAGAGGAGAUCGAGAAGAUGGUGCAGGAGGCAGAAUGUACAAGGCCAAGGAUGAGG